UACAGAGGUGGCAAGCGUUGUUCGGAAUUACUGGGCGUAAAGGGCGCGUAGGUGGCCUUCUUAGUCAGACGUGAAAUCCCCGGGCUUAACUCGGGAACUGCGUCUGAUACUGGAAGGCUGGAGUUCGGGAGAGGAAUGUGGAAUUCCAGGUGUAGCGGUGAAAUGCGUAGAUAUCUGGAGGAACACCGGUGGCGAAGGCGGCAUUCUGGACCGAAACUGACGCUGAGGCGCGAAAGCCAGGGGAGCGAACGGG
This 253-nucleotide ribosomal RNA is filed under the name uncultured bacterium. RNAcentral's name for it is "partial 16S ribosomal RNA". It matches the Rfam family "Bacterial small subunit ribosomal RNA", at positions 524 to 776 of the family's 1533-position model. The record is from RNAcentral.